This 630-nucleotide long non-coding RNA is filed under the name Strongylocentrotus purpuratus (purple sea urchin). Its description in RNAcentral is "uncharacterized LOC115925556, transcript variant X2". The record is from RNAcentral. Lineage: Eukaryota; Metazoa; Echinodermata; Echinoidea; Camarodonta; Strongylocentrotidae.
AUCUAGUAGGAGCCCACAGCUAAAAAAGGUUCCUACUUCCAAGACAUCACUACUCUUCACAGGAAUCAACUCACUGUCUAUGCAGUCAAUACAAGUCCAGGAACAUCAACUGAUGGAAGUCCUCUAAGCUAGGUUUCUUGCAAGACAGGAGCACACUCAGCUGCAACUUCAUGGAAGGAGAAGGUUCUUGGUAUUGCCAGUAUAUCUAGGAGGAGCCCACAGCUAAAAAAGGUUCGAACUUCCAAGACAUCACUUCUCUUCACUGGAAUCAACUCACUGUCUACGCAGUCAAUACAAGUCCAGGAACAUCAACUGAUGGAAGUCCUCUAAGCUAGGUUUCUUGCAAGACAGGAGCACACUCAGCUGCAACUUCAUGGAAGGAGAAGGUUCUUGGUAUUGCCAGUACAUCUAGGAGGAGCCCACAGCUAAAAAAAGGUUCGAACUUCCAAGACAUCACUACUCUUCACUGGAAUCAACUCACUGUCUACGCAGUCAAUACAAGUCCAGGAACAUCAACUGAUGGAAGUCCUCUAAGCUAGGUUUCUUGCAAGACAGGAGCACACUCAGCUGCAACUUCAUGGAAGGAGAAGGUUCUUGGUAUUGCCAGUACAUCUAGGAGGAGCCCACAGC